GGAGCGGGUCGGACGAUCGCCGGUUGCGGCGCGCAGGCGCCGUCGCCGGAGGAAGGUCCGGACUCCACAGGGCAGGAUGCUGGCUAACGGCCAGGCGCAGCAAGCCGCGAGGCCCAGGGCGACGGAAAGUGGAACAGAAAGCACACCGCCCAAGCGGUGCCGGUUCGCCGGCACCGACGGCAAGGGUGAAAUGGUGAGGUAAGAGCUCACCGCGGACGUGGCGACACGGCCGGCACGCCAAACCCCAUCCGGAGCAACAUCGAAUAGGCACGCG
RNAcentral lists this RNase P RNA (274 nucleotides) under Pseudomonadota bacterium. Its description in RNAcentral is "Proteobacteria bacterium partial RNase P RNA component class A". It matches the Rfam family "Bacterial RNase P class A", at positions 1 to 242 of the family's 367-position model. Rfam says of the family: Ribonuclease P (RNase P) is a ubiquitous endoribonuclease, found in archaea, bacteria and eukarya as well as chloroplasts and mitochondria. Its best characterised activity is the generation of mature 5'-ends of tRNAs by cleaving the 5'-leader elements of precursor-tRNAs. Cellular RNase Ps are ribonucleoproteins. The record is from RNAcentral. Lineage: Bacteria; Pseudomonadati; Pseudomonadota.